RNAcentral lists this ribosomal RNA (429 nucleotides) under Bacillus sp. SRB_336. RNAcentral describes it as "bacterial LSU rRNA". It matches the Rfam family "Bacterial large subunit ribosomal RNA", at positions 1298 to 1723 of the family's 2925-position model. The record is from RNAcentral. Lineage: Bacteria; Bacillati; Bacillota; Bacilli; Caryophanales; Bacillaceae.
CGGUGUGAGUAGAGACAUACGGGUGAGAAUCCCGUCCACCGAAUGCCUAAGGUUUCCUGAGGAAGGCUCGUCCGCUCAGGGUUAGUCAGGACCUAAGCCGAGGCCGACAGGCGUAGGCGAUGGACAACAGGUUGAUAUUCCUGUACCACCUCUUUAUCGUUUGAGCAAUGGAGGGACGCAGAAGGAUAGAAGAAGCGUGCGAUUGGUUGUGCACGUCCAAGCAGUUAGGCUGAUAAGUAGGCAAAUCCGCUUAUCGUGAAGGCUGAGCUGUGAUGGGGAAGCUCCUUAUGGAGCGAAGUCUUUGAUUCCCCGCUGCCAAGAAAAGCUUCUAGCGAGAUAAAAGGUGCCUGUACCGCAAACCGACACAGGUAGGCGAGGAGAGAAUCCUAAGGUGUGCGAGAGAACUCUGGUUAAGGAACUCGGCAAAAU